This 209-nucleotide long non-coding RNA is filed under the name Elaeis guineensis (African oil palm). Its description in RNAcentral is "long non-coding RNA (EGUI_LNC004531)". The record is from RNAcentral. Lineage: Eukaryota; Viridiplantae; Streptophyta; Magnoliopsida; Arecales; Arecaceae.
UGAUUUGUAUGGGCAGUUUAUGGUAAACUACCAUAUGAAUAACCAUGAUAGUACCAUAUCUAAAUUGAUCAAUAUAUUGGUAAUUAAGGGAUCUUAAAAAGUUCAGAGGUACAUACCUAGAGAGCCUAAAGAAAUAAGGACAUACCUUGAGAAGGCAUGUCAAAAUUGUUCAAAAUAGUUCUUAUGAUUUUCUCUUCUUCUAGUUGAGU